Molecule: ribosomal RNA, 650 nt
Filed under: Lactobacillus sp. chh01
Lineage: Bacteria; Bacillati; Bacillota; Bacilli; Lactobacillales; Lactobacillaceae
Description: partial 23S ribosomal RNA
Rfam family: Bacterial large subunit ribosomal RNA
Source: RNAcentral
GGAACUGAAACAUCUCAGUACCCGCAGGAAGAGAAAGAAAACUCGAUUCCCAUAGUAGCGGCGAGCGAAGUGGGAAGAGCCCAAACCGAGAAGCUUGCUUCUCGGGGUUGUAGGACUGGACAUUGGAGUUACCAAAGUCCGACGUAGUCGAAGUCAGCUGGAAAGCUGCGCCAUAGAAGGUGAAAGCCCUGUAAGCGAAACGGCGGACCCUCCGUCCAGGAUCCUGAGUACGGCGGAACACGUGAAAUUCCUUCGGAAUCCGGGAGGACCAUCUCCCAAGGCUAAAUACUCCCUAGUGACCGAUAGUGAACCAGUACCGUGAGGGAAAGGUGAAAAGUACCCCGGAAGGGGAGUGAAACAGUUCCUGAAACCGUGUGCCUACAAUUAGUCAAAGCCCGUUAAGGGGUAAUGGCGUGCCUUUUGUAGAAUGAACCGGCGAGUUACGUUUGCCUGCGAGGUUAAGAUGAAAAGUCGGAGCCGGAGCGAAAGCGAGUCUGAACAGGGCGAGUGAGUAGGCAGAUGUAGACCCGAAACCAAGUGACCUACCCAUGACCAGGUUGAAGGUGUGGUGAAACACACUGGAGGACCGAACCCAUGUAUGUUGAAAAAUGCUGGGAUGAGUUGUGGGUAGCGGUGAAAUUCCAAACGAA